This is a long non-coding RNA of Bubalus bubalis (water buffalo), 377 nucleotides long. RefSeq lists it as uncharacterized. The record is from RefSeq and is a predicted model, not a curated record. The transcript is spliced from 3 exons. Lineage: Eukaryota; Metazoa; Chordata; Mammalia; Artiodactyla; Bovidae.
UGGCUUGCUUCUGGGGACAGCCCCGUGUGAGAGCUGCUAGUGUGGGCUCUGGAAGUUGCUGCUGCAUCUCUUCCCUGGUUCAUAGCCUGGUCCAGGCUCAGACUCAGCAACAGAACUUAGACCCUGGGUCCUGGUUUACAUUAGAAUAUGAGGCAGAUGACAAGAGUAACCGUGCUCCUGACCUUGGGUACUUUGAGUCUUGCUAAGACCUCCCAGCCCAUCUUCAUUGACUCAUACGAAGGACAAGAAGUGAACAUAUCCUGUAACCACACCACAAUAGCUACAAGUGACAAUAUCUUCUGGAAGUUCAGCACUCUGAGCCUGCCCCGGGCUUCCCUGAGAGACACUGCUGUGUACUACUGCAUCGUGGGAGAGGC